GUUCCCCGGAACGAAUGGCCAGCAUCCAUUAUUUGCAGGCCCUUGCCGCCUUUGCAGCCUCCAAGUGACGCAAGGAGGGUAUUGAAUCUGGGAAUCCGGAGGCUGUGCGAUUGCUUGAGAUGUUCCGCCGAUCUUGAGAAGUACUGAAAGUGGUAGCCGCACUCCAAGUGUUUGCUGUCCUGUCCGCUGACGCUCCCUGUCUGUCCGCCUGUCUGCACUAAGGCUUAAUCCCAUCCUCUAUUCCACAGACUUUGCAUUAAGAUUAUGUAAAUUUCGCCGCGAUGGGGAGCGAAAGAACAUUCGGAAAGGCGCGUGUUUCUGGCAGUUUUCUGGCGUGUCUGAGCUGGAGACAAAUUGAAAAAGGCCCUCGAGCACAAGAUGCGGCUUUAAGUGGGCGAAAUGGCUUUAAAUUGCCGGCAGUGGUCCGUGUAAAUCAUAAAAUCAUUUUUCCAUUUUAAUUAAAAUUGCCAAGGAAAAGUGCAAACCCUUUUGGGUCCCCCGCAAAAGUUUUCGUUUUGGCCCUGGCAUCACUCAACCGCCCAGUUGCUUUCAAGUUCCUUGCGUUUAAUUUGCUGCCAUUUUCACUUUUACUCCAGCCCAUUACAUUUAUCAAGCUGAGUGGGACACUACCUCUCGGUUGGCCUUUGUCAACACGGAGCUGACCCACGACACUCCUCCGGCUCGUGUGUGCCGAAAAGUUUGUUCACGGUUUUUCAGGACCGCCUUACCCACCCACAAGCUGGCUUGCUCCUCCGCCUGGAAGAGCUUCAGUAGAAUACGGGCACUAUGUCCUGUUUCGAACAUGUCCCGAAAUUGUUGCCACAUUGGAGCAAUUAUGUUUGAGGGGAGCUGGUCGGCCAGAGGCAAACGGGGCUAAGCUCCUUCGGAGGGGAAUGAGGUAGCCAUGAGGGUACUUAUUCGAAGCCCAGGAUUAGAGCGGACAGGGAACUUUUAGUCCGAUGUUGGGACACAACUAAGCUGCCAGAAGAGCUUGCACCACCGGCAGCCAAGCCACUUACUUGCAACUGACAGGGAGUGACAAGCCAGUCAAAACUACCUCGCCACAUGUGGCCGGGGGCGAGGAGAAGUUUGCCGAAUCGCUACUUAACACUCCUUUUCUCCAGUCCCAAAAAAAGUUUGAGAAGAAAAAAGCUAAAAACCGCAGACAGAAUCCUCUGGACUCGAGGACUGGGAACACAAAAAUUCGGCGUCUGCUGCUGCAGGCAGCUCAAACAAGGGAAAUCACCCAACCCAAACGUAGAACCAGCUCCAGAAUGCCACUCAUAUCGUGGCUCAGCUGUUCGUGGAUGUGUGAGUUUUGUAUUUUACCCUUGAACGGGGUAUUUUAAUUUUAAUA
Long non-coding RNA from Drosophila sechellia, 1357 nucleotides. RefSeq lists it as uncharacterized. NCBI's taxonomy places the organism in Eukaryota, Metazoa, Arthropoda, Insecta, Diptera, Drosophilidae. The record is from RefSeq and is a predicted model, not a curated record. The transcript is spliced from 3 exons.